CGGCGGACGGGUGAGUAACACGUGGAUAACCUACCUAUAAGACUGGGAUAACUUCGGGAAACCGGAGCUAAUACCGGAUAAUAUUUUGAACCGCAUGGUUCAAAAGUGAAAGACGGUCUUGCUGUCACUUAUAGAUGGAUCCGCGCUGCAUUGCUGUUGGUAAGGUAACGGCUUACCAAGGCAACGAUGCAUAGCCGACCUGAGAGGGUGAUCGGCCACACUGGAACUGAGACACGGUCCAG
RNAcentral lists this ribosomal RNA (242 nucleotides) under uncultured Staphylococcus sp. RNAcentral's name for it is "partial 16S ribosomal RNA". It matches the Rfam family "Bacterial small subunit ribosomal RNA", at positions 96 to 334 of the family's 1533-position model. Lineage: Bacteria; Bacillati; Bacillota; Bacilli; Caryophanales; Staphylococcaceae. The record is from RNAcentral.